This 252-nucleotide ribosomal RNA is filed under the name uncultured archaeon. Its description in RNAcentral is "partial 16S ribosomal RNA". It matches the Rfam family "Archaeal small subunit ribosomal RNA", at positions 748 to 998 of the family's 1478-position model. The record is from RNAcentral.
UAGGCGUAAAUGAUGCGAGUUAAGUGUGGGGGCAUCUACGAGAUGGCCCUGUGCUGUAGGGUAGCCGUUAAACUCGCUGCCUGGGGGGUACGGUCGCAAGGCUGAAACUUAAAGGAAUUGGCGGGGGGAGGCACCACAAGAGGUGGAGGCUGCGGUUCAAUUGGACUCAACGCCGGAAACUCAUCGGGAGCGACAGCAGUAUGAUUGCCAGGUUGAUGACCUUGCUUGACAAGCUGAGAGGAGGUGCAUGGC